UACGUAGGAUGCAAGCGUUGUCCGGAUUUAUUGGGCGUAAAGAGCUCGUAGGUGGUUCGGUAAGUCGGGUGUUAAACCCCCAGGCUCAACCUGGGGACGCCACUCGAUACUGCUGUGACUAGAGUCCGGUAGGGGAGCGUGGAAUUCCUGGUGUAGCGGUGAAAUGCGCAGAUAUCAGGAGGAACACCGGUGGCGAAGGCGGGUCUCUGGGCCGAUACUGACGCUGAGGAGCGAAAGCGUGGGGAGCGAACAGG
This 254-nucleotide ribosomal RNA is filed under the name uncultured bacterium. RNAcentral describes it as "partial 16S ribosomal RNA". It matches the Rfam family "Bacterial small subunit ribosomal RNA", at positions 524 to 776 of the family's 1533-position model. The record is from RNAcentral.